UUGGACGAGAAUUCUCUUCCCAACAAAUAUACCGCUUUAUCGCUAGAGAAAAGAUCUACAAAAGAGAAAAGAACUUAGAAAAGAUCAACACUUAAGUUUAUCAAAGAAAAUAAUAAUAAAAUGAGUUCGAAAGCAAUCAAUCUCUUGAUCUUUGCUGCCGUGAUCUGGUGUGUAAAUGCUGAAGAAUAUUCCGUAAGAAGAGUAGCCGAACCAACAAAAGUUAUCCAAUUUAAAGACAACUUGAACGAAUAUUCAAAGGAAUUAGAUAAUGGCGAGCAGAAUGUGAACGAAGUACAUGAAGAUGACUCAAAUUUUAAUGCAACAAAAAUAUUUCUGGCACCAAUGCCACCUAAAAAUGCUUGUCCAUUUGAUUGCAAGCAGUUGUGUAUCAACAAAUAUGGAAAGUACUACAAAUGUAACCUAAAGUUAAAGAACUGCUGCUUCAUGAGUUGCUUAAUUUAUAAGAAAUAUUUAAAAUUGGGUUUAAAACCUUGGCUCUGUUAUGUUCUUACAUUUGAAAAAAUUUGCAAAUGUCGAGGCUUACUCAUAAACAAAGGCUA
This is a long non-coding RNA of Xenia sp. Carnegie-2017, 560 nucleotides long. RefSeq lists it as uncharacterized. The record is from RefSeq and is a predicted model, not a curated record. NCBI's taxonomy places the organism in Eukaryota, Metazoa, Cnidaria, Anthozoa, Malacalcyonacea, Xeniidae. The transcript has 3 exons.